Molecule: transfer RNA, 75 nt
Filed under: Candidatus Campbellbacteria bacterium CG11_big_fil_rev_8_21_14_0_20_44_21
Lineage: Bacteria; Candidatus Campbelliibacteriota
Also listed under: 1 other name
Description: tRNA-Arg
Rfam family: tRNA
About the family: Transfer RNA (tRNA) molecules are approximately 80 nucleotides in length. Their secondary structure includes four short double-helical elements and three loops (D, anti-codon, and T loops).
Source: RNAcentral
GCUCCCGUAGUUAAAUGGAUAUAACAACCCCGUCCUAAGGGGUAAUUGUGGGUUCGAUUCCUGCCGGGAGCACAA